Molecule: ribosomal RNA, 410 nt
Filed under: uncultured bacterium
Lineage: Bacteria
Description: bacterial SSU rRNA
Rfam family: Bacterial small subunit ribosomal RNA
Source: RNAcentral
UGCAGGAUGACGGUCCUAUGGAUUGUAAACUGCUUUUGUACGGGAAGAAACACUCCUUCGUGAAGGAGCUUGACGGUACCGUAAGAAUAAGGAUCGGCUAACUCCGUGCCAGCAGCCGCGGUAAUACGUAGGGUGCGAGCGUUAAUCGGAAUUACUGGGCGUAAAGCGUGCGCAGGCGGUUUGGCAAGUCAGAUGUGAAAUCCCCGAGCUCAACUUGGGAACUGCGUUUGAAACUGCCGGACUAGAAUAUGUCAGAGGGGGGUAGAAUUCCACGUGUAGCAGUGAAAUGCGUAGAGAUGUGGAGGAAUACCAAUGGCGAAGGCAGCCCCCUGGGAUAAUAUUGACGCUCAUGCACGAAAGCGUGGGGAGCAAACAGGAUUAGAUACCCUGGUAGUCCACGCCCUAAACGA